This 64-nucleotide transfer RNA is filed under the name Symphylella sp. YG-2006. Its description in RNAcentral is "tRNA-Phe". The record is from RNAcentral. Lineage: Eukaryota; Metazoa; Arthropoda; Symphyla; Scolopendrellidae.
AUCUAUUUAGCUUAUUUAGAGCAUAAUAUUGAAAAUAUUAAGGAUUUUAAUUAGGUUUUAAAUU